CUACGGGUCGCUGCAGUGAGGAAUAUUGCAUAAUGGGGGGAACCCUGAUGCAGCAACGCCGCGUGGAGGAUGACGCAUUUCGGUGUGUAAACUCCUUUUAUAUGUCAAGAAAAUGACGGUAGCAUAUGAAUAAGCACCGGCUAACUCCGUGCCAGCAGCCGCGGUAAUACGGAGGGUGCAAGCGUUACUCGGAAUCACUGGGCGUAAAGGACGCGUAGGCGGGUUGGAAAGUCAGUUGUGAAAUCCUACAGCUUAACUGUAGAACUGCACUUGAAACUUCUAAUCUAGAGGAUGGGAGGGGGAGAUUGAAUUAGUGGUGUAGGGGUAAAAUCCGUAGAUAUCACUAGGAAUACCUAAAGCGAAGGCGAUCUCCUGGAACAUUACUGACGCUAAUGCGUGAAAGCGUGGGGAGCAAACAGGAUUAGAUACCCCCGUAGUC
This 439-nucleotide ribosomal RNA is filed under the name uncultured bacterium. RNAcentral describes it as "partial 16S ribosomal RNA". It matches the Rfam family "Bacterial small subunit ribosomal RNA", at positions 339 to 795 of the family's 1533-position model. The record is from RNAcentral.